UGAGAGGAGGUAACAGGGCUGAGUUCU
This 27-nucleotide unclassified non-coding RNA is filed under the name Mus musculus (house mouse). RNAcentral describes it as "oocyte_clustered_small_RNA12960". Lineage: Eukaryota; Metazoa; Chordata; Mammalia; Rodentia; Muridae. The record is from RNAcentral.